CAAGGAGAUUUAUCCCGCGACAAACAGCCCCACCGAGAGCCGCUGAAUGGGCGUGAUUAGCAUGUGAAAAGGCGAGCAAAACUCCGCGGUUCAACAGCUAAAGAGCAAUUUGAUGGGGCUGGGAUGGGGAAAUUACUUGAUUAGCGUCCGUCGGAGGAAAGCACGGUUACAGCCCCUCGCCCCGGAAUCCGACAGGGGAACAAAACGCGCUGUUGAAUUUUGCAUGACGUACUGCUUUAAAAAUAAUGAAAUGCAUGAGAGCUCUCUUCGAAGCCAGCCACUGGAGAAAGAAGCUAGAGUAUUGAACAAUGCAGGACCAUGUGAAAAGAGGAGCUCAGCCAAUACCUAUACCAAGGCCCAGAUAUAAGGGUGAAGCCAUCCUGGACAUGCCAGCCUCAGAAUUCCAGAGCAGCUUGGCUGGACAGUUCUCUCCUGAGACCUCUCACAAGGUUGCAACCAGAUGGCUAGAGCGGCAGCCAUCAGGAGGCUGGACAGUGAUGGAGGAUCCACCUGCACUCCCCCGCAUGGCUGGUUCUGUUCCCAGAGCUGGGCUGAAGAACACCAAAGAAAAAAAUGCCUGUCUUCCUCCCGCAGAAGACUUACGAUUGAGUUUUGGUAAUGAAACCUGGCUUCAAAAUACUCACAAUGCGUUAUUGAAAUAGCUGCAAAGAUUCCAGGUUGAGUACAUCCCCAAAAAGUCCACUGCUGGGGAGAAGCAAUGCCUCCCUCUCAUCUCCACAGGCUGCACUCCAACGUCUGCUCCGAGUGCAAUGGCCCACUUUGGACGGGAUACAGUCUCUCGUGCCUCAGUUUCCCUCUUCCAACAAACACUUGCCAAUGUGAGAAGCACUAGAAGAUAGUGGUUGAGAGUUUGGGCUCUGUGCUGUAUCAUGUGGCUUAUAAUACCACUUCUCCUCUUAGAAGAUGUGUGGCCUUUGUUGGAAAGCUUAACCUUGAUGUGCCCCCA
RNAcentral lists this long non-coding RNA (967 nucleotides) under Equus caballus (horse). Its description in RNAcentral is "lncRNA (ENSECAG00000054655.1)". The record is from RNAcentral. Lineage: Eukaryota; Metazoa; Chordata; Mammalia; Perissodactyla; Equidae.